Molecule: long non-coding RNA, 3436 nt
Organism: Antechinus flavipes (yellow-footed antechinus)
Lineage: Eukaryota; Metazoa; Chordata; Mammalia; Dasyuromorphia; Dasyuridae
Exons: 3
Source: RefSeq, a predicted model, not a curated record
UUUUUUUUUUUUCCAAAGGAAGAAUCUGUCACUUGGAGCCAAGGAGGUGAAAGUGGCCAGAAUUCCUAACUCCAUUCCCCAACCAUUCUCUCUGGCAUACGUAUGUCCGGAUGCAGGUUUGGGAGGAGGAGCAAGAGAGAAGGGGAGCCACUGGGACCCUGCCUGCCGCUGAGUCGGGCAGGACAAUAGCAGGGUUAUGCAGGGCAGACACACAGCAAGGCCAUACAAGUCCUGGGGCUUCUUUUCGGGCUAAAAAUAGCUCUUCUUACAGCAUUCCCAACUAUUCACUUCUUGCCUAAGUCGCCGGAUGUUGUCUUUUUGGGUGGGGGCCUUUUGCUCCAUGCUGCAGUGGUUCUGUACAUGGUUUCCUUGGCAACCCCAUGUUCUUACUCUAACAAUGAAAACCGCUGUUGAGCCAAGGGCCUGAGGCUCUGUUCCCACUCCCUCUCCACCAAGUGUCCUAUAUUCUCUGGUUCCAUGCACGUAGUCCUAGAGCCUGGGAAUAGGUUAGCCCUUAACAAGAGGGCUGAGACUCCCCUUUCUCACACUAUUCCUCUCAGUACCUUCAGUACCCCGGGGUGGAAAGUGAAAAGAUAUUCAAGGACAAUGUAAGUCAGGUAUGGGACAAAUACAUUUUUUCUACACUCAAAAGAAAUAGUUAACACAAAAGGCUCUCAUGAGUGCACAUUGUCAAAAACUUAAGGCGACUAAACAAGUGUCAGGAAUAAUUACUGUUAAUACUCUUUUGGGAGGGUGAGCUUAAAUUACAUAAGAACCUAAAGCAAUUGGUGAGACUGUUGAACAGGCAUUGCUAUAUUUCUUUCAAGUAUUUGAUUUUGUUAUUUUUAACACACAUUAUGAAUUAUAUUGGGAGAGAAAAAUCAGAGCAAAAGGGGAAAACUUUGGGAAAGAUUUUUAAAAAAACAGAAAAAAACAAGUGAACAUAGUUUGUGUUGAUUUACAUUCAGUCUCCUUAGUUCUUUUUCUGUGUGCAGAUGGUAUUUUCUGCCUAAAGUCUAUUGGGAUUGCUUUGAAUCACUGAACCACUGAGAAAAACCAAGUCUUUCAUAGCUGAUCAUUGCACAUUCUUGCUCUUAUUGUAUAUGACAUAUUUCUGGUUCUGCUUGUUUUGCUCAGAACAUCGCUAUGUUUCUCUUAAGGCUCCAUACUGUUCUCUCCAAAUUCAUGUCUGCCAGACAGCCAGGUCAAAACGUGGGCUUCUCUUCCUGUCACUAGUCAUGUUCUCUAAUGCAGAAACUUCUCCCACCACCAAUUAACGCCACCCAGUGGAUCCCAAGCCCCUGCGUCUCUUGAACUCACUCAGUUCCCAUCCUAAGAUCAGGGUUUGGUCAACUCAGAUCCGAAACAUUGCAGGUGCAGGUUUGCCUCGUCGGGCGUAUGCUUUAAUAGCUGCUGUUCCUCAUUUCUGCUGGGAGGGAAGGAAAGGGCCUCCCUCUCCGGGAGAGCUCCUCGCCACAUGGAGAAGGUCCAGGGAAGAGAGCUGGGGUGGAGCCCUUCUCAAAGGUCCCCUGAGUCAUCAGCCCUUCAGCCAACAAGAAGAUGUGCCCUUCAAUAGUGAGUCACCAGAAAGAGGCAUCAUCCCCCAAACCUCAAAAGUACAUGGUCCGAAGGAAGGGGGAUCUACAGGGAUUUUUUUGUUUUUGGUUUUGGUUUUUCUAAGGCAAUUGGGGUCACGUGACUCCCCCAAGGUCACACAGCCAGGAAGUGUUAAGUGUCUGAGGUUGGAUUUGAACUCAGGUCUUCUUGACUUCAGGGCCGACGUUCUAUCCACUGCGCCCCUUAGCUGCCUAAAUCUGCAAUUUUGAACAUGCCCCGUCCGACCCCUGGUUUUAUUAUUUGGCCCCCUGAAAUAUCUGAAUACCUGGAAUGAGGCCCUCUCUAGAGACUGCGCUCCCUUUAUUAUAAGAUGUAAACCAAAAGGCUGGUUAGUGUCAGAACCCAGUUCAACAUGUCCGCCUCUUUAGGACUCCGUUUGGCGUUUUCUUGGCAAAGAUACUGAGGGGGUUCACCAUUUCUUUCUCCAGCUCAUGUUACAGAGGAGGAAACUGAGGAAAACAGGUUAAUUGACUUAUCUAGGGUCAUACAGCUGGUUGUUAGGUCCAAUCUGAACUCCACUGCUCAUCCUCUUAUAAUAAGGGCUUAAUAAAUGAUUGACUCAUGAGGGGAUUGAAUCUAGUUAUUUCCAGUUUUAUAUAUAUUAAAAUAUAUAUAAAUAUGUAUACAAACACACACAUAUACAUGAGUAUCUUUGUAUCUAUCAAUCAAUCUGUAGCUCUAUAGGUACACACACAUAUAUGUAUAUCCGUAUCUAUUGAUCAAUCAGUAGCUCUAUAGGUACACACACAUAUGUAUAUCUGUAUCGAUCAAUCCGUAGCUCUAUAGGUACACACACAUAUAUGUAUAUCCGUAUCUAUUGAUCAAUCAGUAGCUCUAUAGGUACACACACAUAUAUGUAUAUCCGUAUCUAUUGAUCAAUCAGUAGCUCUAUAGGUACACACACAUAUAUGUAUAUCCGUAUCUAUUGAUCAAUCAGUAGCUCUAUAGGUACACACACAUAUAUGUAUAUCCGUAUCUAUUGAUCAAUCAGUAGCUCUAUAGGUACACACACAUAUAUGUAUAUCCGUAUCUAUUGAUCAAUCUGUAGCUCUAUAGGUACACACACACAUAUGUAUAUCCGUAUCUAUUGAUCAAUCUGUAACUCUAUAGGUACACACACAUAUAUGUAUAUCUGUAUCUGUCGAUCAAUCUGUAGCUCUAUAGAUAUACAGACAUAUCUACACAUAUGUGUGUAUCUUUGUACCUAUCAAUCUAUAUUUACUAAGUCAUUUCUGGCACCCCUCACCCCAUAUCCCCAAGAUCCUUUCAAAAAUACAUAAGAUCAAAAAUAUUCUCAUAAUAAUACCAAGAUGUUAUUUUCCUAUUAAAAAUACUCCUCCCUUUUUCAUCUACAUCUACAUCUAUAUGUAUAUAUCAAUCAAUCUCUAGAUCUAUAGGUACACACAUACACACACAAAACCACCAGGGGGUGCCAGUGAGCUCAGCCGUCCUGGCAGUGUGCUAAGCCGAGCUCCAAUGAGCAUGCGCGAACAUUUCAUUUCAAGCCUUCCCUCCGCCCCUUUCCCUUCAGCCUCGUUUGAAAUCCAGCUGGGGUUUUCUGGGCAAAGACGAGCGAUGUCUUUUCCAUUCCUCCUUGGAAGGGUUCUGCCUUCCCCUUUAUUGGGCCCAUGUGUGCAAGAAGUAUCUGGUUCUUUCUCCAGUGAACUAUUGUCCCCCUCCGGCGCUUGGAUCUCGGGCCAGAAGCCUUUGUCUGGCCGCGCCCCCUCAGACAGGAGCGGCAGCCGCGGAAUCUGCCGCCCUCCCCGCACUCGGUGCUCGCGCCGUUCCCACGGCCGUUCCCACGGCCCGUCCCAGGGCC